RNAcentral lists this ribosomal RNA (2427 nucleotides) under Streptococcus pneumoniae. Its description in RNAcentral is "bacterial LSU rRNA". It matches the Rfam family "Bacterial large subunit ribosomal RNA", at positions 484 to 2925 of the family's 2925-position model. Lineage: Bacteria; Bacillati; Bacillota; Bacilli; Lactobacillales; Streptococcaceae. The record is from RNAcentral.
CCGAUAGUGAACCAGUACCGUGAGGGAAAGGUGAAAAGCACCCCGGGAGGGGAGUGAAAUAGAACCUGAAACCGUGUGCCUACAACAAGUUCGAGCCCGUUAAUGGGUGAGAGCGUGCCUUUUGUAGAAUGAACCGGCGAGUUACGUUAUGAUGCGAGGUUAAGUUGAAGAGACGGAGCCGUAGGGAAACCGAGUCUGAAUAGGGCGCCUUAGUAUCAUGACGUAGACCCGAAACCAUGUGACCUACCCAUGAGCAGGUUGAAGGUGCGGUAAGACGCACUGGAGGACCGAACCAGGGCACGUUGAAAAGUGCUUGGAUGACUUGUGGGUAGCGGAGAAAUUCCAAACGAACUUGGAGAUAGCUGGUUCUCUCCGAAAUAGCUUUAGGGCUAGCGUCGACAUUAGAGAUUCUUGGAGGUAGAGCACUGUUUGGGUGAGGGGUCCAUCCCGGAUUACCAAUCUCAGAUAAACUCCGAAUGCCAAUGAAUUAUGGUCGGCAGUCAGACUGCGAGUGCUAAGAUCCGUAGUCGAAAGGGAAACAGCCCAGACCACCAGCUAAGGUCCCAAAAUAAUUGUUAAGUGGAAAAGGAUGUGGGGUUGCACAGACAACUAGGAUGUUAGCUUAGAAGCAGCUAUUCAUUCAAAGAGUGCGUAAUAGCUCACUAGUCGAGUGACCCUGCGCCGAAAAUGUACCGGGGCUAAAACAAUUUACCGAAGCUGUGGAUACCUUUAUAGGUAUGGUAGGAGAGCGUUCUAUGUGUGAUGAAGGUAUACCGUGAGGAGUGCUGGAACGCAUAGAAGUGAGAAUGCCGGUAUGAGUAGCGAAAGACAGGUGAGAAUCCUGUCCACCGUAAGACUAAGGUUUCCAGGGGAAGGCUCGUCCGCCCUGGGUUAGUCGGGACCUAAGGAGAGACCGAAAGGUGUAUCCGAUGGACAACAGGUUGAUAUUCCUGUACUAGAGUAUGUAGUGAUGGAGGGACGCAGUAGGCUAACUAAAGCAGACGAUUGGAAGAGUCUGUCUAAGCAGUGAGGUGUGAAUUGAGUCAAAUGCUUAAUUCUAUAACAUUGAGCUGUGAUGGGGAGCGAAGUUUAGUAGCGAAGUUAGUGACGUCACACUGCCAAGAAAAGCUUCUAGCGUUUAACCAUACUCUACCCGUACCGCAAACCGACACAGGUAGUCGAGGCGAGUAGCCUCAGGUGAGCGAGAGAACUCUCGUUAAGGAACUCGGCAAAAUGACCCCGUAACUUCGGGAGAAGGGGUGCUGACUUUAAGUCAGCCGCAGUGAAUAGGCCCAAGCAACUGUUUAUCAAAAACACAGCUCUCUGCUAAAUCGUAAGAUGAUGUAUAGGGGGUGACGCCUGCCCGGUGCUGGAAGGUUAAGAGGAGUGCUUAGCGUAAGCGAAGGUAUGAAUUGAAGCCCCAGUAAACGGCGGCCGUAACUAUAACGGUCCUAAGGUAGCGAAAUUCCUUGUCGGGUAAGUUCCGACCCGCACGAAAGGCGUAAUGAUUUGGGCACUGUCUCAACGAGAGACUCGGUGAAAUUUUAGUACCUGUGAAGAUGCAGGUUACCCGCGACAGGACGGAAAGACCCCAUGGAGCUUUACUGCAGUUUGAUAUUGAGUGUCUGUACCACAUGUACAGGAUAGGUAGGAGUCUAAGAGAUCGGGACGCCAGUUUCGAAGGAGACGCUGUUGGGAUACUACCCUUGUGUUAUGGCCACUCUAACCCAGAUAGGUGAUCCCUAUCGGAGACAGUGUCUGACGGGCAGUUUGACUGGGGCGGUCGCCUCCUAAAAGGUAACGGAGGCGCCCAAAGGUUCCCUCAGAAUGGUUGGAAAUCAUUCGCAGAGUGUAAAGGUAUAAGGGAGCUUGACUGCGAGAGCUACAACUCGAGCAGGGACGAAAGUCGGGCUUAGUGAUCCGGUGGUUCCGUAUGGAAGGGCCAUCGCUCAACGGAUAAAAGCUACCCUGGGGAUAACAGGCUUAUCUCCCCCAAGAGUUCACAUCGACGGGGAGGUUUGGCACCUCGAUGUCGGCUCGUCGCAUCCUGGGGCUGUAGUCGGUCCCAAGGGUUGGGCUGUUCGCCCAUUAAAGCGGCACGCGAGCUGGGUUCAGAACGUCGUGAGACAGUUCGGUCCCUAUCCGUCGCGGGCGUAGGAAAUUUGAGAGGAUCUGCUCCUAGUACGAGAGGACCAGAGUGGACUUACCGCUGGUGUACCAGUUGUCUUGCCAAAGGCAUCGCUGGGUAGCUAUGUAGGGAAGGGAUAAACGCUGAAAGCAUCUAAGUGUGAAACCCACCUCAAGAUGAGAUUUCCCAUGAUUAUAUAUCAGUAAGAGCCCUGAGAGAUGAUCAGGUAGAUAGGUUAGAAGUGGAAGUGUGGCGACACAUGUAGCGGACUAAUACUAAUAGCUCGAGGACUUAUCCAA